GGGAUCAGCUCGCGGAUGGUCGCGGAGCCCCGCCUGGCACGGCCCGGUGGGAUUCCCGUAGCGGCCUUCUGCCUCCCAUCAGCUUUCGCGGACUACAGCUCCCGUCAUGCAUCGCUGAACUACAGCUCCCGCCAUGCCCGGCGGUUCUACCCCUGCCGUACUACACCUCCCAGCACGCCCCACGCCCGUCCGGGCCCUGUCGCCUUCUGUCCUUCCCCCGCCUGCCGCGCGGACUACACUACCCAUGGCUCCUCGCGCGGGGCGACCAUCGGCGGACCGCGGCGGCGAUGCGCGGAGCAUGCCGGGAUCUGUAGUCCCCGCAGUGGCGGCGGCUGUAACGGUCCCGCUGGUGGUACUGCCCCCCCUACCCCCCCCAUUCCCGGCUGGCGGCUGCGGGAGCAGCGGGAAGAGGAGGAGGAGGAGGAGAGGGAGAGGGAGAGCUGCUGCACCGGCACAGGGGCCGCCGCCGCCCGAACAGCCGCAGAGCUCUGGAAUGCUGUGAAGACUCCCUGCCCAGGCACACUCCUCUCCGGAUUAUCUCCAUCCCAAGGAAGCUCGUAUCCAAGAGAGUUCCCGGUCUUCCACCAUGAAUCCUGUUUACAGCCCCGUCCAACCUGGGGCUCCCUACGGAAACCCGAAGAACAUGGCCUAUACAGGAAUAAGGAUGAAAUAUUGAUGAUGUCACGUGUGGAGCACAUUCGUGGUUCUUCCUGUCCCCAGAGAAUCCAGCUGUGUUUCCCCUCGGUGGCCUCUGUGCUCUCACAGGUUAUCCAACAGGCUAUCCCACUGCUGCCCCAGCCUACAAUCCCAACAUGUAUCCAACCAGCAGCCCCGGCUACGCCCCAGGGUACACCGCGGGGACCCCCUACAAGGUGCCACCAACCCAGAGUAACAACGCCCCUCCUCCCUACUCGCCGUCUCCGAACCCGUACCAGACCGCGAUGUACCCCAUCAGAAGUGCCUACCCCCAGCAGAACCUGUACACCCAGGGAGCUUAUUACACCCAGCCCGUGUACGCGGCCCAGCCUCACGUCAUCCACCACACCACGGUGGUGCAGCCCAACAGCAUCCCCUCGGCCAUCUACCCCGCGCCGGUGGCCGCGCCCCGCACCAACGGCGUGGCCAUGGGCAUGGUGGCUGGCACCACCAUGGCAAUGUCAGCAGGAACCUUGUUGACCACCCCCCAACACACCGCCAUCGGAGCACAUCCAGUGUCCGUGCCAACGUACAGGGCUCAAGGAACCCCCACCUACAGCUACGUACCUCCACACUGGUAAACCACUGGCCAAUCCAUAUCCGGAGUCAAACAUUGUAUGCAACUACACAAGUCUUACAUCGGUGCUGCGGCCGCUGGGCUGCAGCGCCUCGUCUGUUUGCAAGAACAAAAGAAAAAAAAAAAAAGUGCAAGGGUCACUUUAUGCAUUCUUUAGUGGUUUUUGUAAAAGCUGCUUUUUCUAAUCUUCUGCCUCUUUUUUUCCCCCCUUCCUCCCCCUCCCACAUGAAUUGUGUAACACACAUACUGACACUGAGCAAUAGUCAAGUUCUCUCUUCGGUCCUAUCAUUUGAAAGCUCAGAAUCUUCACUUUUCCAGCAUUGCCCAGCUGAGUGGUGCAAAGAUCCCCCCACUUCUUGUUCGUUUGGGUUCUUUUUGUUAUUUUUCUGUUGUCGUUGUUGUUGACAAGAGCCUAGAUUUUUUUUGGCUAGUAAGAGUGGUUGAUGUUCAGGGUACUAUGUGAAAAGCACAGCGCUGGUAGGCAGGCUUAUUCCGAUUUGGUUUGGGUAUUUUUAGUUGAAGAAUAUAAAUUAUUCAAUCUUUCAUAACAUAUUACAAGAAAAUUGGUGUCUUCCAGAUAGCUGUCGUGAUAGAUUAUAAAUGCAUUAUCUGCAGUGGAAUUCUGAACUCAUCCCUUCUUUUUGUAGGAGUAAGAGAAUAUAAAUAUAAUUAGCGACGUAACACACUUGUCUUAGGAAGCAGGAGGACUGGUCACCAGCGGGUCUUUGGUCUGCUUUUUCCAACUGGGCACACGGAUCAUGGGUGAUGGGAAGGGAGCAGCAGGAAGAUGCAUGCCCUGAGAGCAUCUGGAACCCCUUGGGAAAACGGGAUGCUCCCCCUCAGCCACGUCCUGGGGCAGUGUGAGGGAGAAGGCGGCUCCUUCCUUGCGUGGCUGCUGUUUGCAGGCACAGAUGUGCUGGGCAGCUGCUGAGGGAAGCAAGGAGAUGUCCAAAGGUUGGGCUGGAGAGCUUCUCCAGGUCCAAGGGUUGAUCUGGGGAGCUUUUCUCAGUUUAGGGUUUGGUCUGAGGAGCUCCUCCAGGUUUAGGGUUUGGUCUGAGGAGCUCCUCCAGGUUUAGGGUUUGGUCUGAGGAGCUCCUCCAGGUUUUGGGUUUGGUCUGAGGAGCUCCUCCAGGUUUAGGGUUUGGUCUGAGGAGCUCCUCCAGGUUUUGGGUUUGGUCUGAGGAGCUCCUCCAGGUUUUGGGUUUGGUCUGAGGAGCUCCUCUGUGUUCAGAGUUUGGUCUGAGGAGCUCCUCCAAGUUUCGGAUUUGGUCUGAAGAGCUUCUCCAGAGUAUGGUGGUGUGGGAAAAGAGGGUGUCUGGUUGAUGGAGAUGAGUCUUCAAGGCAGGGCGAGGGCAAGGUGGGUGGCUUCAGCUUGCACCCAUGGUGUUGGUGGGGCUGAGACCAAGCUGCACUGCCUCCGUGGCAGUUGAGGUGUCCCCCUCCCAUUCUUUGGGGUACAGCUCCAAGACUUCCAGGAGAAAUGUUCAUCCAAGCACAAAUACCAGCACCAUGGAGAAAGGCCGGGGAGGGGGGUGAUGUCUGCCUGCUCUGCUUGGAGAGGUGGGAGAGGAGGAAGCAAUAGCAAUAAACACGUCGCCUCCUUCACGGGAAGGCACCUGAGAAGAGGUGACAGCAGGGAAGGUGAUCCACAGUUGAUAUGGACCAGGAUGGGGGACACCAGGCACGCAGAGGCUGUGGGCACCAGGGUCAUUCUGGGGGGGUUUGGCUUACCUGGGGACAUGGGGACAGGAAGCUGGUGACAUCCCCCCUCGGGGUGUCCAAGUAGAGCAAUAAGUCUUGAGGGCAGCAGAGGCAGUUUGGAUUUGCAGACAAUGCUUGUGGCCAGUUUGUUUUUAAAUCCUUGUCACUAAACCCAGCAUAGAAACAAGGUUUUUGGGACUUUUUUGGGUUUUUUUUUUAAGACAAAAGCUUGGUUGGGUUUUGAUUUUUGCCUCAAGUGUGCCAAAAGUGUUCCGUGCUCUCGGUGGAGUCUCACAGCUUGGCUUGAGCUCCUGGAGCUCCUUCCCUUGAGCAUGGGCCAGGUGGAUAGUAACAAGCCUAGGGAUCCCAGGAGGACUUUCCUUCCCACUGGUUGGUCCCAGGAAGUUUGUCAGGUUGGGUGUUGGCACUUCUGUUUGGGGGUCAUUUGAUUGAUUCUGCUGGUUUUGAAGGAAAUCUAAAGCAAAGCUCUGGUUGACCUCCUCAGCCUCGAGAGGAACAAAGUGUGGGAAGACUGUGCUGUGGGGUGGGGAAGGGGCACCCUUGGGCUGCACUUUGGGGUGGUAUUGAGGGAAAGGAGAAGGAAAAAAGAGAAAAAGAGCCAAUCAUCAGUGGGUUCCCCAUGUGGCUUGGCAAAGCCAAAGAUUAGUAAAGAGCAACAGGACCUUGGGAAAUAACACCAACACACCAUCCUUGCACUGUUUGUAGCACACUGCAGUUAAACUUGGGCCAAAAAAAUCCCCAGAUCCUAAGAACUGAAGACUUCUGAGAUCCCCUUUUUUCCCCUCUCAGGCUGACUUUGUGUUACAUACCAGGAGCUGUCUGUCAGCAUUGAGUCAGGUCUCCCAGCGUGAUGGAGCUCUGGUUUGUGGGGUCCACGAGCUUUGGGAUCCCAGCCUGGGCUCUGCAAACGACCUGAACCAGCAGACACCAUCCCACCACUGUCCCAGACAGCCUGCACCACCUUAGGAACCACUCCUAAAAUACUGGCCCAUGUGUGGAAAGGAGAUGUUGGGGUUUCUCCUGGAAGGAAAAGAAACAUUAAAGGUGGGGGAGAAAGCCCCAGGAGUGGUGGAUCACCCAGUGUUCCCACUAUGAGCCCUGACACGGGGCAGUUGGGUUUUAACUUCUUUGCUUGGAUCCACAGCAGAUCCAGUGCUCCUUACCCCAUUAUUCCCAGGCAGAAAUACUGAUUAACCAAAGUGUGGAGAGGUGAAAUAUUUGCCACCUGUUGGGCCAGAGGCUUUAGUGAGGACAUUUGGUAACCAGCCUUGAGCCACUGUGUGGAACCAGAGCCACCACACAGUGCCAGGCUAGGGUAGCUCCUUCCCAAGGUGGGGAGAUGCUCCCUGCCCCUUCCUUGAUGAUCCCAAGUCUUUCCCUUUGUCAAGUCAUGGCUUAACUGAGGGUCCUGGGAAGGUCACAGUGGGGAACAGUGAUGGGAGCCACCAGCUUCUCAGAUAUUUCAUUCCAGCAAAGCUUUGCUGAUGUUGGUUAAGGAAAAGGGUUUUCCACAGUGAAGGAUCACACCGGGCAUCAGUGGGAAAGAGCACGAGGGGUUAAACCAUCCUUAGCAGCCACUGAAGUGUCUGAGAUUAAAAUUCCAGCUAAAGAGGAAGGAAAAAUAACUCUGAACCAUUAACCCAUCACAGACCUUACCUUUACUUCAAAACACAAGCUGCAAUGCAAGAUUUGGGGGGAAAAUGGGAUUUUAGUGGUGGUGGUGACCCCCAAAGCCCAGGAGCCCCUUGAAGCCUGAGGCCAUCAUGCCUCCAAGUGGCUGAACCCUCCAGGCAAGGAUCUGCUACUGCAAGUUAUGAAUAAUAAAUCACUCAGUUCAGCAUAGUUUCAGUUUUGGGAUGUAAUUCCCAGGAAAUGUUAUUUAAGGGGUUUGUUUUAACGAGGGGUGUUCAGAGCAUCAGGUUUUCCUCCAGGCACCAGCAUCCCACUGAAUCUGGUCCUUCCCAGAGAGACCCACCUGACUCUUUGUCAUCCCCUCUGGGAAUGUGGGGAGGAUGUGGUUCCCAGCUGGAGGGCAUGAAAUGGGAUCCUGGCUUUUCAGCAGGGUGGAAAACAACAUUUGAGGCUUUAUUUUUGGUAAAAUCCAACCAGCCAACAAUAGCAAUAACAGCUGCUGGAUACCCAUAAAUCCAGGUAUUUUUGGUUAGGGUUUUUAUUUUAAAAUUGCCAAUAUUUUCAGGCCCUCCAACUGUGGUGACCUUCUGCCCAUCUUCCCUUCACUUUGCUCCUGAGCCAGGAUCAGCCUCCAAAUAUUUUCUCUGCUGUGUGUUAGCAUUCCCUUAGAGGGGAAAAAAAAGAAAAUAAAGUCAGUGACGGAGCUUGGGAGGGAGGAAAUCCUUGGAAAAGGCAUUUCUGUGGCAUGUUGCACCAUGGCACUUGGAGAUUCUCUGGCAAUCAGGUAAAAGAACUUGUGGGAAUGUUUGCAUGGCAGGAAUAGCAAAAUUUGUGGUUUGACAGGAGCGAUUCCCAUUUGGAAGCGCUCGAUUGUGCUGCUUGCAGGGAAUAAUCUUGAUGCAACAUGGCCACCUGCAGCCUCCCUGCAUCCUCCUGCAAGAGAUGGAGCUGGGAGAUGGAAUUUUCCAGGGGGAAGAGGGGUUCAGGGUCAGGAGAAGGAUUUGUAGGGAAGCACGGCAAGGUGCAGGAUCACACCCAAACCCUCCCAUUCCACAACAUGGCCUCAACCCACACCAGGCUCCCACCCCUCUUUCUAUGUAAUUAAUUUUAAAUUGAUUUCAACCACCAGACCAGCUCAUUUUUAAGUAUAAUUGGACAUCUUAAAUAAAAAUAAAUACAAAAAAAAAUAAUUUCCCUGAAAGAACAGCAACAGGAAAAAUUUAAACCCAAGAGUAACCACGUCUUCCAAGUCUACAUCUCACAGGUGUGAAGGGAACAUGGCCUUGGACUGAUGCCCUGGAGAGCCCCACAGCCUCAGUUUGUCCAUCUGAAGUGUAAAUUUGGGGUUGUUUUCCCAUUUGUUUUCUGUUCUGGUUUUGGUUCUGAAGAUCAGGUCGUGAUCUCCCUGACAGAUUUCAGCCAAGAGUUUGUAACUGUACGAUAUUUACUGUAAGAUGUAGAACAUUCGAUAACUAUUAAAAUGUUUCCAAAAAAAUUAAAUAAAUAAAUAAAAGAGCCCGA
RNA transcript from Haemorhous mexicanus (house finch), 6148 nucleotides. It is a transcript of the gene named family with sequence similarity 168 member A, with no coding region annotated. The transcript is spliced from 9 exons. The record is from RefSeq and is a predicted model, not a curated record. Lineage: Eukaryota; Metazoa; Chordata; Aves; Passeriformes; Fringillidae.